UCUGGUGUCUAUAUCUGUUAGGGCUACACCCGUUCCCAUUCCGAACACGACGGUUAAGCCUAAUGGAGCCCAUGAUACUGCAGGGGAAGCCCUGUGGGAAAGUAGGUUGUCGCCAGUUA
This 119-nucleotide ribosomal RNA is filed under the name Proteiniclasticum ruminis. The record is from RNAcentral. Lineage: Bacteria; Bacillati; Bacillota; Clostridia; Eubacteriales; Clostridiaceae.